RNAcentral lists this ribosomal RNA (499 nucleotides) under uncultured bacterium. RNAcentral describes it as "partial 16S ribosomal RNA". It matches the Rfam family "Bacterial small subunit ribosomal RNA", at positions 30 to 523 of the family's 1533-position model. The record is from RNAcentral.
AUUGAACGCUGGCGGCAUGCCUUACACAUGCAAGUCGAACGGUAACAGGUCUUCGGAUGCUGACGAGUGGCGAACGGGUGAGUAAUACAUCGGAACGUGCCCGAUCGUGGGGGAUAACGAAGCGAAAGCUUUGCUAAUACCGCAUAAGAUCUACGGAUGAAAGCAGGGGACCGCAAGGCCUUGCGCGAACGGAGCGGCCGAUGGCAGAUUAGGUAGUUGGUGGGAUAAAAGCUCACCAAGCCGACGAUCUGUAGCUGGUCUGAGAGGACGACCAGCCACACUGGGACUGAGACACGGCCCAGACUCCUACGGGAGGCAGCAGUGGGGAAUUUUGGACAAUGGGCGAAAGCCUGAUCCAGCCAUGCCGCGUGCAGGAUGAAGGCCUUCGGGUUGUAAACUGCUUUUGUACGGAACGAAAAGACUCUGGUUAAUACCUGGGGUCCAUGACGGUACCGUAAGAAUAAGCACCGGCUAACUACGUGCCAGCCGCCGCCCGUAA